Molecule: ribosomal RNA, 253 nt
Filed under: uncultured prokaryote
Description: partial 16S ribosomal RNA
Rfam family: Bacterial small subunit ribosomal RNA
Source: RNAcentral
ACGUAGGGGGCAAGCGUUGUCCGGAUUUAUUGGGCGUAAAGAGCGUGUAGGCGGUUAGGUAGGUCCGUUGUGAAAACUCGAGGCUCAACCUCGAGACGCCGAUGGAAACCAUCUGACUGGAGUCCGGAAGAGGAGAGUGGAAUUCCUGGUGUAGCGGUGAAAUGCGCAGAUAUCAGGGAGAACACCCGUGGCUAAGGCGGCUCUCUAGUACGUGACUGACGCUGAGACGCGAAAGCGUGGGGAGCGAACAGGA